GGGGAAUAUUGCACAAUGGGGGAAACCCUGAUGCAGCGACGCCGCGUGGAGGAAGGAGGUCUUCGGAUUGUAAACUCCUGUUGUUGAGGAAGAUAAUGACGGUACUCAACAAGGAAGUGACGGCUAACUACGUGCCAGCAGCCGCGGUAAAACGUAGGUCACAAGCGUUGUCCGGAAUUACUGGGUGUAAAGGGAGCGCAGGCGGGAGAACAAGUUGGAAGUGAAAUCCAUGGGCUCAACCCAUGAACUGCUUUCAAAACUGUUUUUCUUGAGUAGUGCAGAGGUAGGCGGAAUUCCCGGUGUAGCGGUGGAAUGCGUAGAUAUCGGGAGGAACACCAGUGGCGAAGGCGGCCUACUGGGCACCAACUGACGCUGAGGCUCGAAAGUGUGGGUAGCAAACAGGAUUAGAUACCCUGGUAGUCCACACCGUAAACGAUGAUUACUAGGUGUUGGAGGAUUGACCCCUUCAGUGCCGCAGCAAACGCAAUAAGUAUUCCACCUGGGGAGUACGUUCGCAAGAAUGAAACUCAAAGGAAUUGACGGGGACCCGCACAAGCGGUGGAGUAUGUGGUUUAAUUCGACGCAACGCGAAGAACCUUACCAAGUCUUGACAUCCCUUGACAGACAUAGAAAUAUGUAAUCUCUUCGGAGCAAGGAGACAGGUGGUGCAUGGUUGUCGUCAGCUCGUGUCGUGAGAUGUUGGGUUAAGUCCCGCAACGAGCGCAACCCUUAUGGUCAGUUGCUACGCAAGAGCACUCUAGCGAGACUGCCGUUGACAAAACGGAGGAAGGUGGGGACGACGUCAAAUCAUCAUGCCCUUUAUGUCCUGGGCUACACACGUACUACAAUGGCGGUCAUACAGAGGGAAGCAAAACAGCGAUGUGGAGCAAAACCCUAAAAGCCGUCUCAGUUCAGAUUGCAGGCUGCAACUCGCCUGCAUGAAGUCGGAAUUGCUAGUAAUCGCGGAUCAGCAUGCCGCGGUGAAUACGUUCCCG
RNAcentral lists this ribosomal RNA (995 nucleotides) under uncultured bacterium. RNAcentral's name for it is "bacterial SSU rRNA". It matches the Rfam family "Bacterial small subunit ribosomal RNA", at positions 356 to 1376 of the family's 1533-position model. The record is from RNAcentral.